UGGCUCUCUCAAUGGAGAAACCUGAAAAUGGCUGACAUCCUUUAAAGAAGACAGAUUCACACACACACACACACACACACACACACGCACACAUUCACGCGAUCUUUUUCACCCAUCCCCACGUCCCCACAUUAAGCUACCGUUUUAUCACUUCUUCCACCUACCAGGACAUCUCUUUUUUUUUUUUUUUUUUGAGACGGAGUUUUGCCCUUGUUGCCCAGGCUGGGGUGCAAUGGCACGAUCUCGGUUCACAGCAACUUCCGCCUCCCCAGUUCAAGCCAUUCUCCUGCCUCAGCCUACCAAGUAGCUGGGAUUAGGCAUGCACCACUAUACCUGGCUAAUUUUGUAUUUUUAGUAGAGACAGGGUUUCUCCACGUUGGUUAGGCUGGUUUCUCCACGUUGGUUAGAUGGGGUUUCUCCAUGUUGGUUGGGCUGAUCUCGAACUCCCGACCUCAGGUGAUCUGCCGCCUCGGCCUCCCAAAGUGCUGGUAUUACAGGCGUAAGCCACCACGCUGGCACAUCUCUCUUUUUUAAACUUUUAUUUUAGAUGCAAGGGGUACAUGUGCAAGUUCGUUACCUGGGUAUAUUGUGUGAUACUAAGGUCUGAGGUAUGAAUGAUCUUGUCACCCAGGUACUGAGCAUAGUACCUAAUAGUUUUUCAACCCUUGCCCUCUUCUCUUCCUCCCCCUCUGUUAGUCCCCAGUUUCUAUUGUUGCCAUCUUUGUGUCCAUGUGUAUUCAAUCUUGAUCUCCCACUUCUAAGUGAGGACAUGCAGUAUUCAGUGGUUUUGUUUCUGCAUCAGUUGGCUUAGGAUAACGGCCUCCGGCUGCAUCCCUGUUGCUGCAAAGGACAUGAGUUCAUCCUUUUUCAUGGCUGCAUAAUAUUCCAUGGUGUACACAUAUUAUAUUUUCUUUAUUCAAUCCCCCAUUGAUGGGCACUUAGAUUGAUUCCAUGUCUUUGCUAUUGUGAAUAGCACUGCAAUGAACAUGUGAAUGAAUGUGUCUUUUUGGUAGAAAGAUUUUCUUUCUUUUGGAUAUAUAGCCAAUAAUGGGAUAAUAGGAUUGCUGUUCUUUGAGAAAUCUCCAAACUGCUUUCCACAGGGGCUGAACUCAUUUAUACUCCCACCAACAGUGUAUAAGCAUUCCCUUUUCUUUGCAGCCUCUACAGCAUCUGUUGUUUUUUUUCACUUUUUAGUAGUAGCUAUUCUGACUGGUGUGAGAUGGUAUCUCAUUGUGGUUUUGAUUUGCAUUUCUUUGAUGGCUAGUGAUGUGGAGCAUUUUGUCAUAUGUUUGCUAGUUGCUUGUAUAUCUUCUUUUGAAAAGUGCAGGACAUCUCAAUAUUUACUUUAACUCAACUCUGUGUAUGUGUGUGUGUGUGUGUGUGUGUGUGUGUGUGUGUGUGCAGGUAGGGAGGAAAACAAGGACAGAAACCAGGAGGCCCAGCCCAGGAUUAAAAACACACCACAGCCUUUCCAAAAAGUCAGAGUCAUACAUGGAUCACUUGGAAAUAACUGAACUUGCAAAUCCAGUUUCCCAUGGACCUGCUGAGUUUAUGAGGAAAAGGUGGCUGUGGCCAUUACCAAGUUAUUAAAACCACAGAGAUCUUGACUUGUAUGCACUGAGAUGAGGCUUCCAUCAGCAUCUCGCAUAAAUAACAUAACACUGAUGCAGCAGAUGAACAUGGAAACAGUGACAUCCACAAGGUAAGACCUUUUCUUCUUUGCCUUGGGCUCAUCUAGACCCCUGUGGCAGGAGAUUCUGAAGCGUGGAACAUUACUGAUUCUGAAAUGAUACAAUUUAUGCCCUGACUAAGCAAGGUCCACCUUUGGUUAUAAACAUUGGAUCCAUCAUAAAGUUAUUAAGCCAAGAUCAUGUUUUUGGACCCUGAAGAAGACAAUAGGCUUGGAGGAGAAACAGACCUUGACCUCAAGACACAACGCAGAGGGAAAUAUAGCUGAUACAAAGCUUGAAGAUGAACAUCUAUGUACCCAUCAGGACAUUUUUAAAGGGACAAGUGGAAUGAGCGAAGACUUUGAAGACAGUCUUGUCUGCCAGGCACUCAGAUCAUCAGGAAGCAGAAAAGGAGAUGCAAGAUCAGGUUGAGGGGUAUUUUGUGCAGGAAUACACAUUCAGUGUUAUAAUGUAAUUGAAAAAGAGUCUAUUUCAGAGGCAUCAGCUUCACAGCCACCAUGGUUUAACCUCACCUGUGGUGUAAGAUGGACAGUGGGUAUGGGUGGCCCCUUCUAUGGGUGGGAAGCACAGUGAUGUGUUGGGCACCUGAACAGGGCUGCCAAGAUUUUCUAAAGCAUUCUGUGGACCAUUCUGUGAGCCCCUACAAGGGGUUCUGAGCUCCUUGCCCUGGGAUUUGAUCCAAUGGACCUAUCUAACUGGUAUCUCCAAUGUCAGAGGUGAGUGAGAGCUUCUGUUUGUUUGAACUCUGCCUGACCUCAGUCUCAGUGCUUAUUUUGAACCAGGAACUAAAUGUAGAGGAAAAGUAUGAGGACAAAGUGCACAAUUAUUUUCUCUUGGACAGAUCUUCGACGUCCUGCUUUUCCCUGGGGAGCACUUUCCCUGGAUGCAGGUAGACACAACUUCUUUCUCCUAAUAUGCCCACCCUGGACUCUCCCCUCGCCCUGGUCUUUUCUCAUGAUUUUGGGAAAGUUCCAGACAGUCUCUCUGACUUGCAGCAGGAAAAACACAGUGCAAUAUAAUAUAUUGUGUAUAUUUAGCAUGACAUGUAAAUAUUUUAUAGAAGCUAAAGUAAAUAAUAUAUAUAUUUGUAAUGUCAGUGUAAAUAUUUGAUAGGCUGCAGUAGGAAUCCAGUAUGUUUGGAGCUGGGCACAGCACCAGUGGGAGGAAGGGACAAGGUCAAAUCAGAGGGCAACCUGUUCAUGACGUAUCUGAAAACAUCUCUUUUUCUCCUUCUGCCUAGCUGCUGCUUUGAACGCUUGACUCUCAACAUUCAAAUAUUCUCACGUGAAUUAUCCACAGCAAUUCAAGACCAAGCCCUAUAGCUUUAGAGGCUGCUGGAAAGAGAGCAGCAUGUAAGAUCCUAAAUAACUGGCUGAAUUAUAUUUAUUCAUUUGUUGA
Molecule: long non-coding RNA, 3089 nt
Organism: Pan troglodytes (chimpanzee)
Lineage: Eukaryota; Metazoa; Chordata; Mammalia; Primates; Hominidae
Exons: 2
Source: RefSeq, a predicted model, not a curated record